CGAAUUGCAAGAUUUCUUGAUCAUUGGGGGAUCAUCAACUACUGUGCUGUUCCUCCUAAAGAUGAGGCUCAAAAAGAUGGCACAUAUUUGUAUGAGGACACAAACGGUGAUCUCUGUGUUCCAGCAGCUGGUUUGAAGUCUAUUGACAGCUUAGUCCAAUUUGACAAGCCUAAAUGUCGGCUGAAGGCGAAAGAUAUUUAUCCUGAACUUGAGCGUGACUGCGAUGACGACUCUGAUUUUGACAACUCAAUCCGAGAAAUCUUGUCUGAAAUUAGAUGCAAUUGUUGUUCUCGGCCUGUUUCACUAGCGCAUUAUCAGUCACAGAAAGAGAUGGAUAUUCUAUUGUGUUUGGAUUGCUUCCAUGAGGGUAGGUUUAUUGCUGGUCACUCUAGCUUGGAUUUUGUCAAAGUGAGCUCUAUGAAAGAUUAUGGAGAUCUAGAUGGAGAUACUUGGACGGACCAGGAAACACUAUUGCUUCUUGAGGGAAUGCAACUCUACAAUGAAAACUGGAAUCAAAUUGCAGAACAUGUUGGCACCAAGUCAAAGGCACAGUGCAUCCUUCAUUUUGUCCGCCUGCCUUUGGAUGGUGCCGCAUUAGACAAUAUUGAACUUCCAGGUGCAUCUGGUCCCUCUAGUUCUAAGACAGGUGAAGAUCGUAAUAAAUCUCAUUCAACUUUGAAUGGGAAUCUUGCAGGACCAAGCACUGGAAACCUUGAUUCUGAUAGCAAAUUUCCAUUUGAGAACUGUGGAAAUCCAGUAAUGUCCCUGGUUGCUUUUCUGGCAUCUGCUGUUGGACCGAGAGUUGCUGCAGCAUGUGCCCAUGCA
RNAcentral lists this unclassified non-coding RNA (825 nucleotides) under Hevea brasiliensis (rubber tree). Lineage: Eukaryota; Viridiplantae; Streptophyta; Magnoliopsida; Malpighiales; Euphorbiaceae. The record is from RNAcentral.